GAAAGGCGAAACGUAAUGUGAAUCGCAACUAACAGUGAAUCAUUGAAUCUUUGAACGCAGGCCGCUCCUUGCUUUAUCACUUGUGUUAUUGCAAGGCAUCUAUGUAUGAGUGUCAGCCCAACAUUAUCUUUUCAAGCAAGCAUUUCGCUUUCUUGGUCUAAUCAAAAAAAAAAGAGAUUUAAUAAAUCAUGCUUUUUUAAAGGUUAGAUACACGUAAAUGUGUAUUUUUAUCAUACACAAAACACGUAACUAGAUCAUGUCUGGCCUCAUAUAUGGAAGGUUACCCGCUGGAUUUAAGC
This 299-nucleotide unclassified non-coding RNA is filed under the name plant metagenome. RNAcentral describes it as "partial contains 5.8S ribosomal RNA, internal transcribed spacer 2, and large subunit ribosomal RNA". The stretch from base 1 to 115 matches the Rfam family "5.8S ribosomal RNA", at positions 50 to 154 of the family's 154-position model. The record is from RNAcentral.